Molecule: long non-coding RNA, 207 nt
Filed under: Lathyrus oleraceus (garden pea)
Lineage: Eukaryota; Viridiplantae; Streptophyta; Magnoliopsida; Fabales; Fabaceae
Description: Pisum sativum (pea) long non-coding RNA (PSAT_LNC016656)
Source: RNAcentral
CCAGACAAGUUCAAGCAAGCUCAUUCAUGGCAUCAAAACAAGCAUCAACUUCAACCAAUCAUAAAACAGCAAUCAAACAUGAUAAAUGAAUGAGACCAAAGCCAAAAUUCUCUUCAAGAUGUCUACAAUACACAUGCCAAAUUUCACAUCCAUCCAAUUAAUAAACAGAAUUUCACAAAGCAAAUACAAACAUGUAUCACAAAAAAU